This 398-nucleotide small RNA is filed under the name Oryza sativa Japonica Group (Japanese rice). RNAcentral's name for it is "misc RNA Os03g0399600". Lineage: Eukaryota; Viridiplantae; Streptophyta; Magnoliopsida; Poales; Poaceae. The record is from RNAcentral.
GCUCGGGUCGGCCGGAUCUAGGAGGAGCAGAGGCUUCACCGUGGGCUUGGUAGGGAUACCGUCCAGCACGACCUCGGCCAAGAAGGCAGCAGGUCUACGCCACCUUCUUCCCGUGCUGAUGCCGUGUCUGAGCCCUACCUCACCACAAGUACUGCUCCAUUUCUCUUUUUGAAUCACCACCGGUUCUUGAUUUCUUUGUGAUCUAAAUAUUAAAGAUGUUUAUUCCAUUGAUUAAAGAUGCUUGCCAUUAGGAAAUAUAUAUAUAUUAGCUGCACGUUGUGUAGAACUCAAGAAUGCUUAGAGGCACUCCAUGCAUGGGUUGUUUUAGCUGCACAUGUACUGUCCGGCUGUUCAAAUUUGAGCUAUUUUCCAGUUAAUUAUUUAAUUAACUCUUAAUU